RNAcentral lists this ribosomal RNA (984 nucleotides) under Escherichia coli. RNAcentral's name for it is "partial 23S ribosomal RNA". It matches the Rfam family "Bacterial large subunit ribosomal RNA", at positions 165 to 1190 of the family's 2925-position model. The record is from RNAcentral. Lineage: Bacteria; Pseudomonadati; Pseudomonadota; Gammaproteobacteria; Enterobacterales; Enterobacteriaceae.
CAUAGGUUAAUGAGGCGAACCGGGGGAACUGAAACAUCUAAGUACCCCGAGGAAAAGAAAUCAACCGAGAUUCCCCCAGUAGCGGCGAGCGAACGGGGAGGAGCCCAGAGCCUGAAUCAGUGUGUGUGUUAGUGGAAGCGUCUGGAAAGGCGCGCGAUACAGGGUGACAGCCCCGUACACAAAAAUGCACAUACUGUGAGCUCGAUGAGUAGGGCGGGACACGUGGUAUCCUGUCUGAAUAUGGGGGGACCAUCCUCCAAGGCUAAAUACUCCUGACUGACCGAUAGUGAACCAGUACCGUGAGGGAAAGGCGAAAAGAACCCCGGCGAGGGGAGUGAAAAAGAACCUGAAACCGUGUACGUACAAGCAGUGGGAGCCUCUUAAUGGGGUGACUGCGUACCUUUUGUAUAAUGGGUCAGCGACUUAUAUUCUGUAGCAAGGUUAACCGAAUAGGGGAGCCGAAGGGAAACCGAGUCUUAACUGGGCGUUAAGUUGCAGGGUAUAGACCCGAAACCCGGUGAUCUAGCCAUGGGCAGGUUGAAGGUUGGGUAACACUAACUGGAGGACCGAACCGACUAAUGUUGAAAAAUUAGCGGAUGACUUGUGGCUGGGGGUGAAAGGCCAAUCAAACCGGGAGAUAGCUGGUUCUCCCCGAAAGCUAUUUAGGUAGCGCCUCGUGAAUUCAUCUCCGGGGGUAGAGCACUGUUUCGGCAAGGGGGUCAUCCCGACUUACCAACCCGAUGCAAACUGCGAAUACCGGAGAAUGUUAUCACGGGAGACACACGGCGGGUGCUAACGUCCGUCGUGAAGAGGGAAACAACCCAGACCGCCAGCUAAGGUCCCAAAGUCAUGGUUAAGUGGGAAACGAUGUGGGAAGGCCCAGACAGCCAGGAUGUUGGCUUAGAAGCAGCCAUCAUUUAAAGAAAGCGUAAUAGCUCACUGGUCGAGUCGGCCUGCGCGGAAGAUGUAACGGGGCUAAACCAU